UUGGAUAAUUUUGAUUUUUUAUUUGAGAGUAAAGGGUGAGAAGUAAAAGUUUAGGGGGGAAGUAAAAAGUUUUGGGGAAUAAAAGUUUGAGGGAAAGUAAAUAGGGGGAGUAAAAUUUUGGAGGGAAAAUAUUAAAAAAAAUUGGAGGGGGGAGGGUUUGGGGUAGAUGAGAGGUGGGAUGAUAAAAGUGUUAGGGCAAAAGUCGGAGGGAGUAAAAAUUUUGGGGGAAAAUAAAAGGUUUUGUGGGUUUUGAGGGUUUUUGGGAGUAAAAUUUUAAGAAAAAGUAAAUGGGAGAGUUAAAUUUUGGAGGGAAAUAAAUUUUGGGUAGAUUGGAGGGGAGUAAAAGUUUUGGGGGAAAAGUGGGAAGGAGUAAAAGUUUUGAGGGAAAAGUAAAAUAUUAUAGUUUGAUAUUUGAAUUAUUCGAGUUAUUCGAAUUUGAAAACUCAACUCGAUUCGAACUCGAAAUUUGAAAAAAAAAUUUGAGUUGAUUCAAAUAACUCGAAUAACCCGAUUCGUUUAACUCGAAAUUUGAUUUUUUUUUUAUUUUUUUG
This 551-nucleotide long non-coding RNA is filed under the name Gossypium raimondii (Peruvian cotton). Its description in RNAcentral is "long non-coding RNA (GRAI_LNC010424)". The record is from RNAcentral. Lineage: Eukaryota; Viridiplantae; Streptophyta; Magnoliopsida; Malvales; Malvaceae.